GCGUAAGCGCACGCAGGCGGUCUGUUAAGUCAGAUGUGAAAUCCCCGGGCUUAACCUGGGAACUGCAUUUGAAACUGGCAGGCUUGAGUCUCGUAGAGGGGGGUAGAAUUCCAGGUGUAGCGGUGAAAUGCGUAGAGAUCUGGAGGAAUACCGGUGGCGAAGGCGGCCCCCUGGACGAAGACUGACGCUCAGGUGCGAAAGCGUGGGGAGCAAACAGGAUUAGAUACCCUGGUAGUCCACGCCGUAAACGAUGUCGACUUGGAGGUUGUGCCCUUGAGGCGUGGCUUCCGGAGCUAACGCGUUAAGUCGACCGCCUGGGGAGUACGGCCGCAAGGUUAAAACUCAAAUGAAUUGACGGGGGCCCGCACAAGCGGUGGAGCAUGUGGUUUAAUUCGAUGCAACGCGAAGAACCUUACCUGGCCUUGACAUCCAGAGAACUUAGCAGAGAUGCUUUGGUGCCUUCGGGAACUCUGAGACAGGUGCUGCAUGGCUGUCGUCAGCUCGUGUUGUGAAAUGUUGGGUUAAGUCCCGCAACGAGCGCAACCCUUAUCCUUUGUUGCCAGCGGUUCGGCCGGGAACUCAAAGGAGACUGCCGGUGAUAAAC
RNAcentral lists this ribosomal RNA (604 nucleotides) under Pantoea dispersa. RNAcentral describes it as "bacterial SSU rRNA". It matches the Rfam family "Bacterial small subunit ribosomal RNA", at positions 558 to 1163 of the family's 1533-position model. Lineage: Bacteria; Pseudomonadati; Pseudomonadota; Gammaproteobacteria; Enterobacterales; Erwiniaceae. The record is from RNAcentral.